Talpa occidentalis (Iberian mole) is the source of this 103-nucleotide small nuclear RNA. Lineage: Eukaryota; Metazoa; Chordata; Mammalia; Eulipotyphla; Talpidae. The record is from RefSeq and is a predicted model, not a curated record.
AGGCCCAGGCAGCAUAUAUUUUAAAACUGAAACAAAACUGAGCAGAUUGGGAUGGCCCCUGCAUAAGGAUGACAGGCAAAUUGAUGAAGAAUUCCAUAGUAAA